Molecule: ribosomal RNA, 591 nt
Filed under: uncultured bacterium
Lineage: Bacteria
Description: bacterial SSU rRNA
Rfam family: Bacterial small subunit ribosomal RNA
Source: RNAcentral
CUCCUACGGGAGGCAGCAGUGAGGAAUAUUGGACAAUGGUCGGAAGACUGAUCCAGCCAUGCCGCGUGCAGGAUGAAGGUCCUAUGGAUUGUAAACUGCUUUUGUAAGGGAAGAAUAAGGGGUACGUGUACUUUGAUGACGGUACCUUACGAAUAAGCAUCGGCUAACUCCGUGCCAGCAGCCGCGGUAAUACGGAGGAUGCGAGCGUUAUCCGGAAUCAUUGGGUUUAAAGGGUCCGUAGGCGGGCUGAUAAGUCAGAGGUGAAAUCGUUCAGCUCAACUGAGCAACUGCCUUUGAAACUGUCAGUCUUGAAUGAUUGUGAAGUAGUUGGAAUGUGUAGUGUAGCGGUGAAAUGCUUAGAUAUUACACAGAACACCGAUAGCGAAGGCAUAUUACUAACAAUUUAUUGACGCUGAUGGACGAAAGCGUGGGGAGCGAACAGGAUUAGAUACCCUGGUAGUCCACGCUGUAAACGAUGGAUACUAGCUGUUUGGAGUAAUCUGAGUGGCUAAGCGAAAGUGAUAAGUAUCCCACCUGGGGAGUACGCACGCAAGUGUGAAACUCAAAGGAAUUGACGGGGGCCCGCACAAG